UGGAUCCAGACUUUGAUCAUGGCUCAGGACGAACGCUGGCGGCGUGCUUAACACAUGCAAGUCGAACGGAGCACCCUUGAAGGAGUUUUCGGACAACGGAUAGGAAUGCUUAGUGGCGGACUGGUGAGUAACGCGUGAGGAACCUGCCUUUCGGAGGGGGACAACAGUUGGAAACGACUGCUAAUACCGCAUGAUACAUUUGUGUCGCAUGGCAUGAAUGUCAAAGAUUUAUCGCCGAAAGAUGGCCUCGCGUCUGAUUAGCUAGUUGGUGGGGCAACGGCCCACCAAGGCGACGAUCAGUAGCCGGACUGAGAGGUUGGCCGGCCACAUUGGGGCUGAGAUACGGCCCAGACUCCUACGGGAGGCAGCAGUGGGGAAUAUUGGGCAAUGGACGCAAGUCUGACCCAGCAACGCCGCGUGAAGGAAGAAGCCUUUCGGGUUGUAAACUUCUUUUAAGGGGGAAGAGCAGAAGACGGUACCCCUUGAAUAAGCCACGGCUAACUACGUGCCAGCAGCCGCGGUAAUACGUAGGUGGCAAGCGUUGUCCGGAUUUACUGGGUGUAAAGGGCGUGCAGCCGGAGAGGCAAGUCAGAUGUGAAAUCCGCGGGCUCAACCCGCGAACUGCAUUUGAAACUGCUUCCCUUGAGUAUCGGAGAGGUAACCGGAAUUCCUAGUGUAGCGGUGAAAUGCGUAGAUAUUAGGAAGAACACCAGUGGCGAAGGCGGGUUACUGGACGACAACUGACGGUGAGGCGCGAAAGCGUUGGGAGCAAACAGGAUUAGAUACCCUGGUAGUCCACGCUGUAAACGAUCAAUACUGGGUGUGCGGGGACUGACCCCCUGCGUGCCGGAGUUAACACAGUAAGUAUUGCACCUGGGGAGUACGAUCGCAAGG
This 894-nucleotide ribosomal RNA is filed under the name uncultured Bacillota bacterium. RNAcentral's name for it is "bacterial SSU rRNA". It matches the Rfam family "Bacterial small subunit ribosomal RNA", at positions 1 to 893 of the family's 1533-position model. The record is from RNAcentral. Lineage: Bacteria; Bacillati; Bacillota.